RNAcentral lists this ribosomal RNA (485 nucleotides) under uncultured bacterium. RNAcentral's name for it is "bacterial SSU rRNA". It matches the Rfam family "Bacterial small subunit ribosomal RNA", at positions 30 to 507 of the family's 1533-position model. The record is from RNAcentral.
AUUGAACGCUGGCGGCAUGCCUUACACAUGCAAGUCGAACGGCAGCACGGGAGCAAUCCUGGUGGCGAGUGGCGAACGGGUGAGUAAUAUAUCGGAACGUGCCCAGUCGUGGGGGAUAACGUAGCGAAAGCUACGCUAAUACCGCAUACGAUCUACGGAUGAAAGCGGGGGACUCGCAAGAGCCUCGCGCGAUUGGAGCGGCCGAUAUCAGAUUAGGUAGUUGGUGGGGUAAAGGCUCACCAAGCCAACGAUCUGUAGCUGGUCUGAGAGGACGACCAGCCACACUGGAACUGAGACACGGUCCAGACUCCUACGGGAGACAGCAGUGGGGAAUUUUGGACAAUGGACGCAAGUCUGAUCCAGCCAUUCCGCGUGCAGGAUGAAGGCCCUCGGGUUGUAAACUGCUUUGUACGGAACGAAAAGGUUUCUAUUAAUACUAGGAGCUCAUGACGGUACCGUAAGAAUAAGCACCGGCUAACUACGUG